Molecule: transfer RNA, 72 nt
Filed under: Camelus bactrianus (Bactrian camel)
Lineage: Eukaryota; Metazoa; Chordata; Mammalia; Artiodactyla; Camelidae
Also listed under: 2 other names
Rfam family: tRNA
About the family: Transfer RNA (tRNA) molecules are approximately 80 nucleotides in length. Their secondary structure includes four short double-helical elements and three loops (D, anti-codon, and T loops).
Source: Rfam by way of RNAcentral
GUGGGUAUAGCUUAGUGGUAGAAAACAUGCUUAGCAUGCACGAGGCCCUGGGUUCAAUCCCCAGUACUGCCA